RNAcentral lists this ribosomal RNA (763 nucleotides) under uncultured Neisseriaceae bacterium. RNAcentral's name for it is "bacterial SSU rRNA". It matches the Rfam family "Bacterial small subunit ribosomal RNA", at positions 28 to 776 of the family's 1533-position model. Lineage: Bacteria; Pseudomonadati; Pseudomonadota; Betaproteobacteria; Neisseriales; Neisseriaceae. The record is from RNAcentral.
AUUGAACGCUGGCGGCAUGCUUUACACAUGCAAGUCGAACGGCAGCGGGGAGGAGCUUGCUUCUCUGCCGGCGAGUGGCGAACGGGUGAGUAAUACAUCGGAACGUGUCGAGAAGAGGGGGAUAACCACCCGAAAGGGUGGCUAAUACCGCAUAAAUUCUGAGGAAGAAAGCUGGGGACCUAGGAAUAGGCCUAGCGCUUUUUGAGCGGCCGAUGUCGGAUUAGCUAGUUGGCGAGGUAAAGGCUCACCAAGGCGAAGAUCUGUAGCGGGUCUGAGAGGAUGAUCCGCCACACUGGGACUGAGACACGGCCCAGACUCCUACGGGAGGCAGCAGUGGGGAAUUUUGGACAAUGGGGGCAACCCUGAUCCAGCCAUGCCGCGUGUAUGAAGAAGGCCUUAGGGUUGUAAAGUACUUUUGUUAGGGAAGAAAAGUCAGCUGUGAAUAAUGGCUGAUACUGACGGUACCUAAAGAAUAAGCACCGGCUAACUACGUGCCAGCAGCCGCGGUAAUACGUAGGGUGCGAGCGUUAAUCGGAAUUAUUGGGCGUAAAGCGAGUGUAGACGGUUAUUUAAGCCAGAUGUGAAAUACCCGGGCCUAACUUGGGAGGUGCAUAUGGAACUGGGUAGCUAGAGUGUGUCAGAGGGAGGUAGAACUCCACGUGUAGCAGUGAAAUGCGUAGAGAUGUGGAAGAAUACCGAUGGCGAAGGCAGCCUCCUGGGAUAACACUGACGUUGAGGCUCGAAAGCGUGGGGAGCAAACAGG